AGUGAACGCUGGCGGUAGGCCUAACACAUGCAAGUCGAACGGCAGCACAGUAAGAGCUUGCUCUUACGGGUGGCGAGUGGCGGACGGGUGAGGAAUACAUCGGAAUCUACUUUUUCGUGGGGGAUAACGUAGGGAAACUUACGCUAAUACCGCAUACGACCUACGGGUGAAAGCAGGGGAUCUUCGGACCUUGCGCGAUUGAAUGAGCCGAUGUCGGAUUAGCUAGUUGGCGGGGUAAAGGCCCACCAAGGCAACGAUCCGUAGCUGGUCUGAGAGGAUGAUCAGCCACACUGGAACUGAGCCACGGUCCAGACUCCUACGGGACGCAGCAGUGGGGAAUGUUGGACAAUGGGCGAAAGCCUGGUCCAGCCAUACCGCGUGGGUGAAGAAGGCCUUCGGGUUGUAAAGCCCUUUUGUUGGGAAAGAAAAGCAGCAGGUUAAUACCCCGCUGUUCUGACGGUACCCAAAGAAUAAGCCCCGGCUAACUUCGUG
RNAcentral lists this ribosomal RNA (492 nucleotides) under uncultured bacterium. RNAcentral's name for it is "partial 16S ribosomal RNA". It matches the Rfam family "Bacterial small subunit ribosomal RNA", at positions 29 to 507 of the family's 1533-position model. The record is from RNAcentral.